RNAcentral lists this long non-coding RNA (258 nucleotides) under Elaeis guineensis (African oil palm). RNAcentral's name for it is "long non-coding RNA (EGUI_LNC019836)". The record is from RNAcentral. Lineage: Eukaryota; Viridiplantae; Streptophyta; Magnoliopsida; Arecales; Arecaceae.
UUGCGAUCGAGUGAUCUAGGUCGUAAACUUCCAACACAGCUUUGUUGAAUCGAGCUACAUAAGAUCGAAUGGACUCGCUCUUCUUCUAUUCGAUGGUCUAGAGGUAGUUCGAGUGCUUUUGUUGUCGCCGGCUGGUAAUGAAGUGGGCAACAAAGACAGCUGCUGGAAAGAGUGAAUAGAAGCCAGCUUCAGAAUAAAGUACCAAUGUCAGACCGCCCCUUCAAAGUGGAGGGGAAGGCUUGACAUAGGAUAGCAUCG